GGGGAAGUUCCAGAGCGGUCAAAUGGGGCAGACUGUAAAUCUGUUGCUUCGGCUUCGGUGGUUCGAAUCCGCCCUUCCCCACCA
Molecule: transfer RNA, 84 nt
Filed under: Lachnospiraceae bacterium
Lineage: Bacteria; Bacillati; Bacillota; Clostridia; Lachnospirales; Lachnospiraceae
Description: tRNA-Tyr
Rfam family: tRNA
About the family: Transfer RNA (tRNA) molecules are approximately 80 nucleotides in length. Their secondary structure includes four short double-helical elements and three loops (D, anti-codon, and T loops). Further hydrogen bonds mediate the characteristic L-shaped molecular structure. tRNAs have two regions of fundamental functional importance: the anti-codon, which is responsible for specific mRNA codon recognition, and the 3' end, to which the tRNAs corresponding amino acid is attached (by aminoacyl-tRNA synthetases). tRNAs cope with the degeneracy of the genetic code in two manners: having more than one tRNA (with a specific anti-codon) for a particular amino acid; and 'wobble' base-pairing, i.e. permitting non-standard base-pairing at the 3rd anti-codon position.
Source: RNAcentral